RNAcentral lists this long non-coding RNA (3184 nucleotides) under Cyanistes caeruleus (blue tit). RNAcentral describes it as "lncRNA (ENSCCEG00000024041.1)". Lineage: Eukaryota; Metazoa; Chordata; Aves; Passeriformes; Paridae. The record is from RNAcentral.
AUGCGGUUAAAGCUGUUUCUUGCCAACGUCCUCCAAAGGCAAAGCCUGGAGUAUCUGGGAAAAUGCCAUAAAUCUUGGAAAAGACCUAAUUGCACUACUGUGUUGAGGCAAGAUUUCUCUCCACCCUUCUGGAUGAGGUGCACAAACACAAGGAGAAAGGUUUCUCUGGUCUUCCAAGAAAGCCCUAGCUUCCUCUCUCCCUCUGGGAAUGGAGCUGACCUCCUUCUGCCCUUGUCCCUGUGAACAGUGUGUUAUUUCCAGCAGCAAAGAGUUAUGGAGCAAGAAAAUUUAAAUUUUCCUCUACUUGUGGGAGGGGGGUUUGAAGCCCCUCAGGACACUGCAUAGAGCCCAGAGUGGGGCUUCUGUGCCCUCAGUGACUGCCUGGGCUCAUGGGCACGGCCAGACACUGGUCACUGCCUCUUUCCUGUCAAAGAACUCACCUUUGCUCUCUUUUAGUUGUAUUAUCCACAAAACAAAGCAAAACUCAGGGGUCUUCAGGGUGAAGAAUCCUCCAUGCUGUAUAAAACAGUGAGGCAAAGCAGGAACUGACGAGGCACAAUGUUCCUGCAGUUCCCCUCUGGCUGAGGGAGUUGCUUGCCAUGCAGGAAGCUGUGGGAGGCAGAGCUCAUUCUCCCCCAUCCCACAGCAGUCAUCUUCACACCUUCACAUCUACCCCAAACAUCAACACUGCCACAUUCAGCUCCAAAACCUUCAAAAGGCUUUUUUGGAUCUCAGCUCUUAUAGGCAGUCCUCACAAGUCCUCCAAUCUGUCCUAAUCCCAAAGAUUUUUGUUCUGGCUCCAGCCACCUGCUGCCAGCCAUGUCCUGGAGCAUGGCCUGGUCACCACAAUCUGACCUUGCGGGAAAUGUCCCUGAGGUGCCACACAUGCUCUCCCACUUGCCAAAUUCCUCAGCUGAUGAGAUUGCUUCCAGAUUUCAGCACUUACUGGCAAGCUUCAAGUAGUUUGCCCAGAAAAGCUCCCAGUGAUUAAAGAUCUCUGGGAGCUGUGUUGUGGCCACUGCCUGGUUACUGACCUACACAAGCAGAGCAACAUGGGAACCAGUGACCUGGGAAAACAAACUUCUCUGCUCCCUGUCUUCUAAUAUUUAGCUUUGCUUUUGAGAUGAAAGAAGAACUUAUUCCUAUUUGUAUCCAAUCUCAUUGCCCAAUUUAGGAUGUUUUUAUCAUUUACUGAGAAAAACAGGCUUUCUAUUAUGAUUUAUUGGACUUGAACAUAGCUUGCAUUCCAGCUCAGGAGCAAAUAGAAGCUGAUUCACUGUUACCAACACACUGAAAACAUUUGUUAUCUCUGUCUUAAAGGUAACAAAUCUGCAUCAGCAAGUGGGUGUGAACCACAGAAUUGUUUGGGUUGGAAGGAACCUUAAAGGUCAUGUCACUCCAACCUUUUGCCAUGGGCAGGGACACCUUCCCCUAGACCAGGCUGCUCAGAGCCCCAUCCAGCCUGGCCUUGAGCAUUUCCAGGGAUGGGGCAGCCACAGCUUCUCUGGACAGCCUGGUCCAGUGUCUCACCACCUUCACAGGGAAAUUCUCCCUUACAUUUAAUGUAAAUCUCCCUUGGUUUAAAACUGUGCCCUCUUAUCCCACCUCUAUUUGCCCAUGUAAAACAACAUUCUCCCUUAUUUAUACUCCCUGUUAAGUAUUGGAAGACAGCUGUAAGGUCUCCCCAAAGCUACCUCCUCUCCAGACUCACAGUCCCAGCUCUCUCAGCCUGUCUUCACAAGACACACAAGCACAUCUGUACAAGCAGGGUAGAACCCAGAGCUUAUGUAUGCCCUGCUUGCCAAAGCACAUGGGACCAGAUGAGGAUCACUGCUUCCUCUUUCUGGCUGAGUAACUCCAAGUUCUCCUAAUUACAGCUUUCAAAAAUCCUCUUCCCCAGAUUUCAUAUCUUCAUACACUCACCAGUGCAUAUUCAGUCAAGCUUAUACCCUUUAGUUUUCCAGACAGAUGGAUCACUAUUAUUAAAGGACAUAAAGAAAGGGAGAAAAUUUAGAAGUUACUUUUUCUCCUCUCAUUCCUCCCGUGUUUUCACAGCAUUGGGAUAUCCUGGCACCCUGAAGUGCAGCAGACAGCUAAGAGAAGGGAUGGUUCCCCUCUUCUGGCCUUUCAGUCACGAUCUCCUCUCUACAAAGUCAUGUCUGCUGCUCAUUCUUUGGGGUCCUUUAUACCAAAAACGACUCUCAUUUGUCUGUUGCAAUACUGCAGCCCUUUUCCACAGCGUUUGGUGGUAGGGGGCUCACACUUUCUCAAAAAGCACUGUACUGUGAGAUGGGAAAUGUAGCAUAGAUGCUCUUCACUGCAGGACUGUGAACACAUCUUGGGGAUCCCUCAACAACAGUCUGCACCAGUACAGAUCUAACCUGGAAGUAAAAGCCAUUUUAUACAAUGUUUGUGCUUUCCCAUUUGUUUGCUAAAAUGUACCCAACUGAGUCUCUCACGAUUCUUUUGCUGAAAUGACGUUUUUGACAACUACAAAGCAGGUGCUAAGACCGGAGAAAGACACAAAGGAAAUCUUUUACAGAGAUUUGCAAAGUGAAACUGGACACCUGCUGAGUUAACGCAUUUGUUAAGCUUCAGUGCAAUUGGCAGGACAUGUGACACGGUUCUAAGGGGCUGAGGCAGAACAAAGACAAUCAAGAGACUCUACAGAGGAUCUUUCACAAUCUUAAAUCAACAUGUCCCACUAUCUGAUCUGAUCCCUUUCAGUGCAGCCCCACUGGAAGUGGCCCUCCUCUGCUCUGGCACUCCCACUGGCGCAGAGCUACCAGUGAGAAUAAUCAGGCACUGAGAUCUGUUAGAAAACAUGCCUAGAUGGCAUGUAAAAAGUAGAGCUUUAACUACUUGUGUGCAGUGCAUCCUGAUUAAAACAGAAUAUAUAAAUGAGUCUGAUUUCUGAGGAGUGGCAAACAGCCCCGGGCCACAUGAUUUUAACAGCCAUCAGAGUCAAAAAUUAACUCCCCUUGGUAACACAACCACAUAAUAGGGCAUUCAGAAUAUUUCUUUGCAAUUUCUUUUAUUAAAUAUCCUCUUUGAUACAGAAUAUUUAAGAAAAAAUAGUUUACAAUCUCUGUUUUGGUAAUUCUUACAGGAGUCUUUUGUGUAGUCACUCCUACAGCAGUUCAUGUUGGCAUUUAAGGAAUAAAUCUUUAGCAAAAGUCUCUCA